Molecule: ribosomal RNA, 303 nt
Filed under: uncultured bacterium
Lineage: Bacteria
Description: partial 16S ribosomal RNA
Rfam family: Bacterial small subunit ribosomal RNA
Source: RNAcentral
AGCAGUAGCCGCGGGAAUACGGAGGGUGCAAGCGUUAUCCGGAUUUAUUGGGUUUAAAGGGUCCGUAGGCGGAUCUGUAAGUCAGUGGUGAAAUCUCACAGCUUAACUGUGAAACUGCCAUUGAUACUGCAGGUCUUGAGUAAAUUUGAAGUGGCUGGAAUAAGUAGUGUAGCGGUGAAAUGCAUAGAUAUUACUUAGAACACCAAUUGCGAAGGCAGGUCACUAAGAUUUAACUGACGCUGAUGGACGAAAGCGUGGGGAGCGAACAGGAUUAGAUACCCCCGUAUCCCUGUCUCUUAUACA